CCGACGGUGAGAGGCGAAAGCUGGGGGAGCAAACCGGAUUAGAUACCCGGGUAGUCACAGCUGUAAACGAUGCGCGUUAGGUGUGUUAGUGACCACGUGUCACUGAUGUGCCGAAGGGAAACCGUGAAACGCGCCGCCUGGGGAGUACGGUCGCAAGGCUGAAACUUAAAGGAAUUGGCGGGGGAGCACCACAACGGGUGGAGCCCGCGGUUUAAUCGGACUCAACGCCGGAAAUCUCACCGGAUAA
RNAcentral lists this ribosomal RNA (247 nucleotides) under uncultured archaeon. RNAcentral describes it as "partial 16S ribosomal RNA". It matches the Rfam family "Archaeal small subunit ribosomal RNA", at positions 691 to 937 of the family's 1478-position model. The record is from RNAcentral.